UACGUAGGAUGCAAGCGUUUGUCCGGAAUUAUUGGGCGUAAAGAGCGCGCAGGCGGUAUGACAAGUCAGAUGUGAAAGAGGCCGGCUUAACCGGCAAGGGUCAUUUGAAACUGUCAGACUAGAGUGCAGCAGAGGAUAGUGGAAUUCCCGGUGUAGUGGUGAAAUGCGUAGAUAUCGGGAGGAACACCAGUGGCGAAGGCGACUAUCUGGGCUGCAACUGACGCUGAGGCGCGAAAGCGUGGGGGAGCAAACAGG
Molecule: ribosomal RNA, 255 nt
Filed under: uncultured bacterium
Lineage: Bacteria
Description: partial 16S ribosomal RNA
Rfam family: Bacterial small subunit ribosomal RNA
Source: RNAcentral